GGACUCAUGAUUGAGGGACUGUAUCAUACGUUAACUACAUCUAGAGAUUCAUCAUCUUUUAUUUUAUUGAGUUGCUACUACAUACUGCUAGGUGUCACUGGUGGAUUGUGUGACCCACGAGCAUCAUCUUGAUGAUCGAUGAUCUUUAGUGGGCAGAGUUAGAACGGCUCCAACCUAUUCAAAAGAGUUUCAAUGAUAUUGUGAUAGGAAUCAUAAUAUAACUC
RNAcentral lists this long non-coding RNA (224 nucleotides) under Elaeis guineensis (African oil palm). RNAcentral describes it as "long non-coding RNA (EGUI_LNC050440)". The record is from RNAcentral. Lineage: Eukaryota; Viridiplantae; Streptophyta; Magnoliopsida; Arecales; Arecaceae.